Molecule: long non-coding RNA, 1996 nt
Filed under: Junco hyemalis (dark-eyed junco)
Lineage: Eukaryota; Metazoa; Chordata; Aves; Passeriformes; Passerellidae
Description: lncRNA (ENSJHYG00000007727.1)
Source: RNAcentral
CUAACAAUCAAUACCCAAAUACCUGCCAUGCUUGAGGAUUUUUUAAAAGAUGAAUCCAGCAUCACAGCCGCAGCCUCUCUUUAAUUGUUUCUAAGUAAUAUUUCUUUUCUGGCUCCUGGAGAUGACCUACAGGCUCUCUAGUGUGCACAGGCAUCCAAAGACUGAUGAGGAAAAUCAGUUGGAGUGUGUUUUUUUACUCUGACUUCUCAGAUGAACACAAGCAGGUCAGCAAUAGAUGAUGCAAGAACAAGGCUGAACUUCCAGCCCAUUAGGCUCUGUGGAGCCAGGCGGCAGACGGGUGAUGUGGUGUGUCUGCAUACCUCCCCCAGGCACUGGAGAAGAGGUAAGAUGCAAAACCCUUCCUGCACUGCAAGGAGGUACAAGAUCCUUCUCAUCCUCAAGGGAACACACUGCUUCACAAACACACUGUGGCAACUUCCCGUGCCACAGGGGUGCCACGGGACAAGCUCACGGACUGUGGGAAUCACUCCUAGAAGAGACAGGGAUGGCAAAAGGAGAAGGCAUUUGCAAAGCCUUCUGAAAUGGUGCCUCCCCUGGCUAAAAGGGCUCACCUUGAAGGCACCUGAAGGGCUUCUGAGCCACUCCAGACAACUUCCCAGUGCUGACUGUCCUGUGUGAAACAAGGAACUUGGCUCAGUCAGGACGGCAGAGGUUUGUCAGAGCCUGUGUCCCACUGGAAAUGCCUUCAUUCUCCAACUUGAAGUGUUUGUCUCUUCUAUCAGCCUUGGCAGUGGGGCAGUUUAAGGGAUCACUCCACACUUCUGUUGGCAUAAAGCUGGUACCUAUUUUCCCUGUGGAAGCAGGAGUUACUGAACUGGUUUAGGUGACUGUGACUAGAGUCCCUGUGAACAGUGUGGGUUAUUUUGGCACAGGUACAGUGGAAAAGUGCUAAUCCCCUCAUCUGCACUUGUUAAACCUUUUAAUUAAAGAUCACUUUGAUGAAAGUGCAAGGCUGAGAGGUCAGGGUUUUGCUACAGCACUCACCAGAGACUCAAGAAACAGCAGCUGUGAGUGGUAGUGAGCUUUGAGAUCUGUCUUUCGAGCCCUAGUGGAAAAGAUGAAGAGGCACCAGCUCCUAUGCUCUCCAUCUCUGUGGGGCAAAGCUAGACCCAGAGGAAUUUGGGUCUGAUUCACAGCUGAGCAGGAAAGGUGACCUAGAACUGCCCCACAUCAGUGAUUUCAUGUAAGUCAUCUGACAGAUGUGUGAGGGAUUCACCAAAAGAGGGAAAUGAAUAACUUUCAAAACCACCUUGGAGGACUGGGUUCUCAGAUGAAAAAGUGCUGAAAUGUGUGGAACCCAGGAAGAAAAGUGCAGCCACAAGAGCACACGGCUCCUCUGGAAAGAAUAAGAAUGCUGUGAAUUCUGAUUGUUUGCUUGCCCUUUUUUUCCUCCUGUGGUAUUUACAGUGCCCUGGUACUCACUCAGCUUUCCUAGCUAACAGCUAGGGAGGUGGAUGGAGCUGCCUGGAAUCCUGGCACCAGACACCUGACAGGCACCUUCAUGCUUCAGGCACCCUGCAGGAGGGCAGAGCCAGCUUGGCUGUGUUCCUGUGUGGGGAACAGGACCCCAACAGAGUGGGGAUUCCCCAAUGCACCUGCCCCUCUGACUUCUGGAAGAAGUUCCUCUCAAACCUGUGUGUCAUUCCCAGGUAUCACUCCCAUUUCCCUGGGGAAAUACUGACCCUGAUGGCAGAAUAUGGUGUGUUUGAGAUGCUGAAGACACCAAACUACUGUUUGCUGGGGUCUCCAGGCUGCCAGGCUGGCUGCCAGCUUGUUAAACACUCACUGAUGUGCCAUUAGGGAGCUGAAGUGUCAUCAGUGUUAUAAACCUGAACCUGUAGCUUAAUUUAGGGGCUUGUCAGACAUAUGGUAAUGGGCUGGUAAGGCUUGGUGAAAGGUGGCAUCUGCAGGCAUCUGCACAUUUUUAAUCUAUGUAUACAAUAAAAUAUUACACAUUAGCUUUUGCUCUUGCUGG